Molecule: ribosomal RNA, 431 nt
Filed under: uncultured bacterium
Lineage: Bacteria
Description: bacterial SSU rRNA
Rfam family: Bacterial small subunit ribosomal RNA
Source: RNAcentral
GAUGAACGCUGGCGGCGUGCUUAACACAUGCAAGUCGAACGAAGCAUUUACGACAGAUUUCUUCGGAUUGAAGUUGUUUAUGACUGAGUGGCGGACGGGUGAGUAACGCGUGGGUAACCUGCCUCAUACAGGGGGAUAGCAGCUGGAAACGGCUGGUAAUACCGCAUAAGCGCACAGCAUCACAUGAUGCAGUGUGAAAAACUCCGGUGGUAUGAGAUGGACCCGCGUCUGAUUAGCUGGUUGGUGAGGUAACGGCCCACCAAGGCGACGAUCAGUAGCCGACCUGAGAGGGUGACCGGCACAUUGGGACUGAGACACGGCCCAGACUCCUACGGGAGGCAGCAGUGGGAUAUUGCACAAUGGAGGAAACUCUGAUGCAGCGACGCCGCGUGAGUGAAGAAGUAGUUACGCUAUGUAAAGCUCUAUCAGCA